GAUGAACGCUGGCGGCGUGCCUAAUACAUGCAUGUCGAGCGAACGGACGAGAAGCUUGCUUCUCUGGUGUUAGCGGCGGACGGGUGAGUAACACGUGGAUAACCUACCUAUAAGACUGGGAUAACUUCGGGAAACCGGAGCUAAUACCGGAUAAUAUUUUGAACCGCAUGGUUCAACAGUGAAAGACGGUCUUGCUGUCACUUAUAGAUGGAUCCGCGCUGCAUUAGCUAGUUGGUAAGGUAACGGCUUACCAAGGCAACGAUGCAUAGCCGACCUGAGAGGGUGAUCGGCCACACUGGAACUGAGACACGGUCCAGACUCCUACGGGAGGCAGCAGUAGGGAAUCUUCCGCAAUGGGCGAAAGCCUGACGGAGCAACGCCGCGUGAGUGAUGAAGGUCUUCGGAUCGUAAAACUCUGUUAUUAGGGAAGAACAUAUGUGUAAGUAACUGUGCACAUCUUGACGGUACCUAAUCAGAAAGCCACGGCUAACUACGUG
RNAcentral lists this ribosomal RNA (497 nucleotides) under uncultured bacterium. RNAcentral's name for it is "partial 16S ribosomal RNA". It matches the Rfam family "Bacterial small subunit ribosomal RNA", at positions 28 to 507 of the family's 1533-position model. The record is from RNAcentral.